UCCUUGCUGCAGAUAAAGCAUCCCUUGGAGUUCUUAUUUCUUGGACGCGAUUUGGAUCGUCCAUGUCUGCUCUUGGAUCUCCCCUUAUAGGGUUUUCCACCUCCUUUGCCAGAGCGAUGGUCUGAUCUCCCUCUCUCAACCAUCAGACCUUCUCCACCUGACCUGGGUCAACAGCAGGUGCAGGCUUGACGAUUCCAGCAAGCCCCUUUCCAGUAUCUUUCAUGGCAGAUUAUGGUUCAUCCUUAGUAUCAGGAUCAUCUUUUAAAAGCUUCUCGUCGGUGAGAAUAGCUUUCAAGCCGAGUACUCCAAAGUGAGCCAGCAUCCUCACUUUCCAUAGGGCGAAAUCACCAUCACCCUCAAACCGGUCUAUCUCAAUACGUUCCUUCGACUUCACCAUCGAGCAGGUAAAGCUGGAGUGGGCCUGUGCAUUUUGGUUCUGGCCCAAGGAGAAUGUCGAAGCCCAAAACUCACAAAGCCUUGGUCUAUGUUGUUUGGAAGGAAAGAAACACGAGGCUCCACACUUCUGCAAAUAAACUUCCCUUGCCUCUCGUCAAAGAGAUAAAAGGGGUGUUGAAAGCGAAGCUGUUUGGUCUCGAUCGUGCAACUCUGGU
Long non-coding RNA from Raphanus sativus (radish), 611 nucleotides. RefSeq lists it as uncharacterized. The transcript has 3 exons. The record is from RefSeq and is a predicted model, not a curated record. Lineage: Eukaryota; Viridiplantae; Streptophyta; Magnoliopsida; Brassicales; Brassicaceae.